This 460-nucleotide ribosomal RNA is filed under the name uncultured bacterium. Its description in RNAcentral is "partial 16S ribosomal RNA". It matches the Rfam family "Bacterial small subunit ribosomal RNA", at positions 338 to 795 of the family's 1533-position model. The record is from RNAcentral.
CCUACGGGAGGCAGCAGUGAGGAAUAUUGGUCAAUGGGCGCGAGCCUGAACCAGCCAAGUAGCGUGAAGGAUGACUGCCCUACGGGUUGUAAACUUCUUUUGUAAAGGAAUAAAGUGAGGCACGUGUGCCCUUUUGUAUGUACUUUAUGUAUAAGGAUCGGCUAACUCCGUGCCAGCAGCGGCGGUAAUACGGAGGAUCCGAGCGUUAUCCGGAUUGAUUGGGCUUAAAGGGAACGUAGAUGGUGUGUUAAGUUAGUUGUGAAAGUUUGCGGCUUAACCGUGAAAUUGCAAUUGAAACUGGCAGUCUUGAGUACAGUAGAGGGGGGCAGAAUUCGACGUGUAGCGGUGAAAUGCUUAGAGAUCACGAAGAACUCCGAAGGCGAAGGCAGCUCACUGGACUGCAACUGACACUGAGGCUCGAAAGUGUGGGUAGCAAACAGGAUUAGAUACCCGAGUAGUC